RNAcentral lists this ribosomal RNA (700 nucleotides) under uncultured eukaryote. Its description in RNAcentral is "SSU rRNA". It matches the Rfam family "Eukaryotic small subunit ribosomal RNA", at positions 975 to 1699 of the family's 1831-position model. The record is from RNAcentral.
UAUCAGAACGAAAGUUAGAGGUUCGAAGGCGAUUAGAUACCGCCCUAGUUCUAACCAUAAACGAUGCCAGCUAGCGAUCUGAGGACGUUUUUUUUGUAGACUCCUCAGGAAGCUUCCGGGAAACCAAAGCGUGUGGGUUCCGGGGGAAGUAUGGUUGCAAAGCUGAGACUUAAAGGAAUUGACGGAAGGGCACCACCAGGAGUGGAGCCUGCGGCUUAAUUUGACUCAACACGGGAAAUCUCACCAGGCCCGGACACUGGAAGGAUUGACAGAUUGAGGGCUCUUUCUCGAUUCGGUGGGUGGUGGUGCAUGGCCGUUCUUAGUUGGUGGAGUGAUUUGUCUGGUUAAUUCCGAUAACGAACGAGACUCUGUCCUGCUAAAUAGUGUCAGCCUCUCUUUUGGGCUGACAAUUCUUCUUAGAGGGACUGGCGGCUCCUAGCCGCACGAGAUAGAGCAAUAACAGGUCUGUGAUGCCCUUAGAUGUUCUGGGCCGCACGCGCGCUACACUGAAUAGAUCAGCGUGUUCUCCCUUUCUGAGAAGAACGGGUAAACCGCUGAACCCUAUUCGUGGUAGGGAUCGGGGCUUGCAAUUAUUCCCCGUGAACCAGGAAUUCCCAGUAGGCGCGAGUCAUAAGCUCGCGUCGAUUACGUCCCUGCCCUUUGUACACACCGCCCGUCGCUACUACCGAUUGAAUGGGUA